CCUGCGGCCAGCGGCCGGCCGGGCCCUAGCCCGGGGGGCCAGGGGUUGUACCCACAGCCCCCGGGGGCGGGAGGCAGCCGGGAAGCACCCGGCAACAAAGGAAGUGCUCAGCAUCCUGGAAGCGGGGAGGAGGACGCCAAGGGCCCGCGCGGUGGGGAUGGGACCGGAGGAGCCGCCGCGUGGCUGUGACUGGCUUGGUGGCUGCUGGAGAAGGAGAAGAGAUGCUCUGGGAAAUGGACUGCUCGGGCCUCCAGAGCCUCGGCGAAGAUGGCUAUGGAGGACUUUUUUCCCCCAUCUUGCAGACCUAAGGAUUUUGAUAUUGAUUUAUGGACUUAGGUUUCAUGGCUUCGGAGGGGCAUCGAGUCCAGCAUUGCAGCGGGGCAGCAGCGCCAGGAGGGGGUCCCCAGGGACCGCUCCCCCACCACCCACCAGACGAUGCUCCGGGAGGUCCCCGCAGCGCCCCGGGCCCCCGUCCCCCCCUUCCCUGUCCUGUACAUAACCAGUGAGAUGUCUGUAAAAGAUUUCAACCCUUGGAAUUUUUUUUGCCCUCCCUCCCCACCUCCCAGCCCGCCUCCCCCCCGCCCCCCCCCCUUCCUUCCCCAAUUUGUUGAUUGUGUUGAAAUUGUCGGAGUUUGUAACAGUAACUUUCAGAGAAUAUUGUACUAAAGAGAAAAUUGCACUCAAUAAAAAUGAUGAAAGAA
This is a long non-coding RNA of Pseudopipra pipra, 701 nucleotides long. RefSeq lists it as uncharacterized. The record is from RefSeq and is a predicted model, not a curated record. NCBI's taxonomy places the organism in Eukaryota, Metazoa, Chordata, Aves, Passeriformes, Pipridae. The transcript is spliced from 2 exons.